UUUCCGGUCUGAGGCUCGGCUCCAGAAAGCGCGAGGCCUAAUUCCUAAAUCCCAACGGGAAAAAAAUGACGUCCUGCUCUCGCCGCCUCGCCCCACCCCUCCCCCUCCUCCUCCUCCGCGUGCUCCGCUCCUAAUGGCGGUGGACAGCGUCGCCCACGGCCGCGCGAUCAUCUCCGCCACCGCCCUCGAAGGUCGCCGAGCCUCGCCCAAUCUCCGCCCUGAGGGAAAUCCAUCUCUCUCGAUCCGUGUUUCUGCCUUCUAACAUUUGGGUGGAUUCUUUGAGAGAUGGCGGACUCCGUGGAUGUGGUGUUGGAGUUCUUGAGGAAGAACCGGUUUGCGAAGGCUGAGGCUGCUUUGCGAGGGGAGCUUAAUAGCCGGCCGGACUUGAAUGGGACGCUUCAGAGACACCUUUCUGAGGAGAAAGAUGAAGUGGGAGAAGAUACUGGAGGAGUUAGUAAAGCGGGACGGCAAGGUACAGGCAUGCGGAGUGGAGAGAUGUCCAAGGAGUUUAUUGUCAAGGAGAUUGAAGUAGGUGGCAUUGGUAAUGGGUCCGAAAGCAAGAAAGGCUCUAGUUCUAAUCAGGGCCAAGGCACAACUGAUCUGUACCCUUGGAAUUUUGGUUCUGCUAAUAGUGCUUCCAAUUCUAUUUCAAGGGCAAGUGGUGCCACUGCCAACAACUUUGCAGAGCUCUUGAUAUCUGAGGAACCUAGGCAUCACCGUGGUUUGUUGGCAUUAGAAAAGAGGAAUUCUGCUCUAGAAACUGAUCCUGACGCGUCUGCAGAGCAAAGAAUUUCUUCUAUCGGGGGUAAAAGUAAAACUGAGAUUGAAGUGAAGCCUGAAGUCAGUCAAAUGAGUGUUUCUAAGGCUGAAAAUACUUACUCCAAAGACCAUUUGCUAGAUAGCCUGUGGUUGAAAAGUGAGGAGCCAUCAAAGGAUUGCUCCAUGAAGACAGUUUUUCCAUUUCCUGUGGACAAUGCCUCAUCUAGUUAUGAUGGUGCUUCAGGCCAUGGUAAUGAUAGAAAAGAGUUAAACAAGAAAGUGGAAAGCAAUGAUAAUAUAGAAGUCACAAAGGAACAGCUAGAUAAUGUGGGUAGGCCAUGCUUCUCAGGGAAGUCUCAAGAAAGUACAGAGCAAAAGAAUACCAAGAGUUUUGAUUUACUGCAUAUUGGUAAAAACCAAAGGGAGGAGCUACCAAGGCUGCCUCCUGUAAGGCUUAAGUCCGAAGACAAGUUAGUAAAUCUUCAUUUGGAGGAAAAGGUUGACCAUCAGGCAUCUGGAACAAAGCUCUCAGGUCCAGACAACACCUUUAUGAUUGGGUCUUUUCUUGAUGUCCCUAUUGGGCAAGAUAUCAACUCUUCAGGUGGGAAACGAACAAUUGGAAGCAGCUGGCUAUCUGUAAGUCAAGGAAUUGCUGAGGAUGCUUCUGACUUGGUAUCUGGUUUUGCUACUGUUGGUGACGACUCAGUUGAUUACCUAAAUGAGUAUUGGGAUUCUGAUGAAUAUGAUGAUGAUGAUGAUGUUGGGUACAUGCGACAGCCUAUUGAAGAUGAAUCCUGGUUUCUAGCACACGAGAUUGAUUAUCCAAGUGACAAUGAAAAGGGAGCAGGUCAUGGGAGUGUUCCUGAUCAGCACGAGCGUGUUCCAAGAAAGGAUGAGGAUGAUGAGCAUUCUUUUGCUGAAGAGGAUUCAUACUUAUCAGGGGAGCAGUAUUUACAUUCAAAAAACAUUGAACAAGUUGCUGGUUCAGAGGGACCAAUGGGACUGAGAAUGUCUGAAAUGUAUGGAAGAAGAGAUGAAAAUGAUUUGAUAGCUCAGUAUGAUGGGCAACUGAUGGACGUUGAAGAGCUAAAUUUGAUGCGUGCAGAACCUGUUUGGCAGGGCUUUGUUACCCAGGGUAAUGAACUUGUUAGGUUAGAAAAUGGGAAAGUCCUCAAUGAGUCUGAACGGGGUUAUCCUGAUGAUCCUUCUAUUGAAGAUGAUCAGCAUGGUUCAGUUAGGUCAAUUGGCUUGGGCAUGAACAGUGAUGCUGCUGAAAUUGGCAGUGAAGUCCGUGAAAGCUUGGUCGGAGGAAGUAGCGUGGGGGACAUAGAAUACAUUCAUGUACAUGAUGCUGGUAUAAGUGGCAGACGGCUCUCUCAAUAUGAUACAGACAAGAGCUACUUGAAUAGUUCUAAGAAGGAUAAAGUAAGGGGAAAUAAACAGGAUCCAGAUAACUUUAUUUUGGCUUCCGGAAAGGGUAGUCGCCUGCCAGAUGUGAGUUAUAUUGAUGGUGGGUUUUCUUUUCCACCACCUACAAGAACUGGAGAUGUGUUGGAGGCUGAUUCUGGUAAGUCCUUAUGGUCAACCAGGGGUAAUACUGUUGUCGAUGAUGAUGCUGGCGAAUGUGCAAAUGGCGUGGUUACAGAGGAUAUGCUUGCCACAUGGAGGCGAAGAAGCAACAAUUCUACUCCUCUAAGGAACCUCAGAGACGAGAAAACUUCUGAUCCUGUUAGAUCAUCAAGAAAUUCAACUGCAUCAUCAACCUCAAAUUACGCUUAUGCUGAAAGAGAGGAUAUUAAUGGACAAGAGUACAAAGCAAAUGAUGCUAGAGAAGAAGACCCUGGGACAACGCUUGAGGAUGAAGAAGCUGCUGCAUUGCAGGAGCAAGUAAGACAGAUAACAGCUCAGGAGGAGGAAUUUGAAAUCUUCAAUCUUAAGAUUGUGCAUAGAAAAAACAGAACUGGCUUCGAAGAAGAUAAAAAUUUCCAUGUUGUUCUAAAUUCAGUAAUUGCUGGACGUUAUCAUGUUACUGAAUACCUAGGAUCAGCAGCAUUCAGCAAAGCUAUUCAGGCACAUGACUUGCAUACAGGCAUGGAUGUUUGCGUGAAAAUUAUAAAGAAUAACAAAGAUUUUUUUGAUCAGAGCCUUGAUGAAAUUAAGCUUCUGAAAUUUGUUAGCAAGAAUGAUCCUGCUGACAAGUAUCACAUCUUGCGCUUGUAUGAUUAUUUCUAUUACCGGGAACACUUACUGAUAGUUUGUGAACUUCUCAAGGCAAACUUGUAUGAAUUCCACAAGUUUAACAGAGAAUCUGGAGGGGAGGUUUAUUUUACAAUGCCAAGAUUGCAGUCAAUAACUAUCCAAUGCCUGGAGGCACUUCAGUUUUUACAUGGUCUUGGUCUUAUUCAUUGUGACUUGAAGCCUGAGAAUAUAUUGGUGAAGAGCUAUAGUAGGUGUGAAGUAAAGGUCAUUGACCUUGGUAGUAGUUGCUUCGAAACGGAUCAUUUAUGUUCUUAUGUACAGUCACGAUCCUAUCGUGCACCUGAGGUUAUUCUGGGCCUCCCUUAUGAUAAAAAGAUAGAUAUAUGGUCACUUGGAUGCAUUCUGGCUGAACUCUGCACAGGAAAUGGAAUUUACAACUGGCUUACCAUGAACUACUACUAUAUCAUGGUUUUAAUAGCAUACUGUUCUCUUCCAAAAUGAUUCUCCAGCAACAUUACUUGCACGUGUGAUGGGAAUCAUAAGCCCUAUUGACCAGGACAUGCUUGCAAAGGGGCGAGAUACAUACAAAUAUUUCACAAAAAACCACAUGUUAUACGAAAAGAAUCAGGAAAUCAAUAGGCUAGAGUAUUUGAUUCCAAAAAAGACAUCGCUGCGACAUCGGCUGCGUAUGGGUGAUCAAGGUUUUGUUGAUUUUGUUGCUUAUCUUCUUGAAAUAAACCCAAGGAAGCGUCCAUCGGCAUCUGAAGCAUUGAAGCAUCCAUGGCUCUCUUUUCCUUAUGAACCAAUAUCCUCGUGAACCGUCUUCACUGAUGAAUGCAUUAUGCUGCUGGAGAAUGUUUUUGUCUGCCUCAUCAGCGCAUGCUAAAUUAUGACAUUAAGAUUGCAGACCUGUCAGAUUCUACCAGGACUGGAUAAGCAUAUCGAAGCAGCAACAGCUGCCUCAAGAAAAAGCUCAGGGUCUUAUCUUCUCAUGGGUUUGCUGCUUCGAAGGUUGUUUGAUCACAUUGACAGCAGGUGCCGACAGUCCUCUUGGUGCUGCAGAGCUGUGUUGUAGUCUAACUUUUGUUUGUUGUAACCAGAAUGUAAUUGGGCAUGCACUGAUUUGUGUCUUCACCUGGAUAAGGACUGUCCUGUUGUAUAUGAUGUGAUUAUUAUUUGAGGCCUUUCAGUGUUGGCUGUGCCCCGGUUCUGACUUGUGUUUCUUUAGAGGUCUUGUUAACAGUUUUUUUUUUGGGGGAAUAUUGGCCCGAAAAAAAGAAUCAAAAGUUGAGUGUACUAUCAUCCGGUUCAACAUUUUUAACUGCAACCAUCAUGGAAUUAGCAGUGAGCGUUAUAAUGUCUGACGUGAGUUUUCC
Molecule: RNA transcript, 4334 nt
Organism: Phoenix dactylifera (date palm)
Lineage: Eukaryota; Viridiplantae; Streptophyta; Magnoliopsida; Arecales; Arecaceae
Source: RefSeq, a predicted model, not a curated record